This is a non-coding RNA of Salvia hispanica, 234 nucleotides long. The record is from RefSeq and is a predicted model, not a curated record. NCBI's taxonomy places the organism in Eukaryota, Viridiplantae, Streptophyta, Magnoliopsida, Lamiales, Lamiaceae.
GACUAUCUAGUUCCUAUUUGCGAAGAGACACACCAACAAGCAGUUUGUUUUACAACGCGGCAUUGCCUCUGUGAUAAUUUGCGAGGAACUGAGAAGAUUGAUGAUAAGUCAAUAUGCAGACGCAGUGACGACUGCAAAUUAGAAUGCAAAACGGGUACGAGGAAGGUAUGCAUAAAUGGUGUCUGCAGAUGUGUAACAACCCCAAAACUUUGAAAGGAUUCUUACAUGAUUAAA